GCAGGGGUACCCAAGUGGUCAAAGGGGCAUGGCUUAGGACCAUGUGCUUAGUGCUUCGCAGGUUCGAAUCCUGUCCCUUGCA
This 82-nucleotide transfer RNA is filed under the name archaeon. RNAcentral's name for it is "tRNA-Leu". It matches the Rfam family "tRNA". Rfam says of the family: Transfer RNA (tRNA) molecules are approximately 80 nucleotides in length. Their secondary structure includes four short double-helical elements and three loops (D, anti-codon, and T loops). The record is from RNAcentral. RNAcentral also lists the same sequence under 1 other name.